CCUACGGGAUGCAGCAGUGGGGAAUAUUGCACAAUGGGGGAAACCCUGAUGCAGCAACGCCGCGUGGGUGAAGGAGCGUUUCGGCGCGUAAAGCCCUGUCAGCGGGGAAGAAGAAAGACGGUACCCGACCAAGAAGCCCCGGCUAACUACGUGCCAGCAGCCGCGGUAAUACGUAGGGGGCGAGCGUUAUCCGGAAUUACUGGGGAUAAAGGGAGCGUAGGUGGGCGCUUAAGUCAGGUGGGAAAACUCCGGGCUCAACCUGGAGACUGCAGUUGAAACUGGGUGUCUUGAGGGCAGGAGAGGAAAGUGGAAUUCCUAGUGUAGCGGUGAAAUGCGUAGAUAUUAGGAGGAACACCAGUGGCGAAGGCGACUUUCUGGACUGUACCUGACGCUGAGGCGCGAAAGCGUGGGUAGCGAACGGGAUUAGAUACCCUAGUAGUC
Molecule: ribosomal RNA, 441 nt
Filed under: uncultured bacterium
Lineage: Bacteria
Description: partial 16S ribosomal RNA
Rfam family: Bacterial small subunit ribosomal RNA
Source: RNAcentral